RNAcentral lists this ribosomal RNA (490 nucleotides) under uncultured bacterium. Its description in RNAcentral is "partial 16S ribosomal RNA". It matches the Rfam family "Bacterial small subunit ribosomal RNA", at positions 30 to 507 of the family's 1533-position model. The record is from RNAcentral.
AUUGAACGCUGGCGGCGGGCCUAACACAUGCAAGUCGAACGGUAACAGGAAGAAGCUUGCUUCUUUGCUGACGAGUGGCGGACGGGUGAGUAAUGUCUGGGAAACUGCCUGAUGGAGGGGGAUAACUACUGGAAACGGUAGCUAAUACCGCAUAACGUCGCAAGACCAAAGAGGGGGACCUUCGGGCCUCUUGCCAUCGGAUGUGCCCAGAUGGGAUUAGCUAGUAGGUGGGGUAACGGCUCACCUAGGCGACGAUCCCUAGCUGGUCUGAGAGGAUGACCAGCCACACUGGAACUGAGACACGGUCCAGACUCCUACGGGAGGCAGCAGUGGGGAAUAUUGCACAAUGGGCGCAAGCCUGAUGCAGCCAUGCCGCGUGUAUGAAGAAGGCCUUCGGGUUGUAAAGUACUUUCAGCGGGGAGGAAGGGAGUAAAGUUAAUACCUUUGCUCAUUGACGUUACCCGCAGAAGAAGCACCGGCUAACUCCGUG